Long non-coding RNA from Syngnathus acus (greater pipefish), 2497 nucleotides. RefSeq lists it as uncharacterized. The transcript is spliced from 2 exons. The record is from RefSeq and is a predicted model, not a curated record. NCBI's taxonomy places the organism in Eukaryota, Metazoa, Chordata, Actinopteri, Syngnathiformes, Syngnathidae.
ACACACCUGAAUCAUGACAGUGGGAGCACAUGAACUUUAAAAUGGCAGCCGCACUGAUUAAUUAAAAUACAGAAGGACUUUAAGCAACAAUAAAAAAAAACAGUGAGCAUGUGAAAAAUGUAAAUAAUUUCUUAAUCAUAAAAUACUUUAUUACCCCAGUUUCAGCCCUGUGGAGUUUGUAAACAACAAUUAUUCCGGCUACCUCCCGUAUUUUAAAAACAUGGAUGUUAGCUUCGUUGGUUACGUCGAGUAGGGCUGGACAAUAAAUUGAAAUCUAAUCAUGAUUUCUAUUUUGUCUCCUCCUGAUGUUUCAAAGAUUAUAAUGGGGAAAAAAAGAUUAGUAUGCAGAAUGCCGAGUUUCAUUUGCAAAUUCAUGACGUUGUGAAAGUAAGCUGAAUGUACCAUGUUGUAACUAUUGCUUAUAUAAUUCUGCUGUCCCUCGUUGUUCUUUAAGCAUUUUAAAGACAGUAUAGUUGGAAUUUAGUGUAAUAUUUCAAUGCACAAAAGUUAAAUACUUCCAUUUUAAAACAAUGCUAACACUGAUGUUAAUGUCAAUGUAAAUUUCUUUUGGCAUGCUAUCAGUAAAUUAGCACCGACUUCUGAAGUGAAAUUGCUAUUCACACACAAACGCAGUAAAAACACAUACACACAAGUAACAGUGAUACUCAAUGGCACAAGUCCUUCCCAAUCUGUGAUCAAAACAAUGACUAAAUUGGUGUUUUCAAUCAUGCUUUGGAUUAUGGAACCUCAGCAACUCACCUGCGGCCAGUGCACCAUGCAAAUGCAUGUCGGCGUCACGGGGAUGGCAGGGUGUAUAAAAACGGAACUGCCUGGACAUACACUCAUUCAGUUUGGACAGCUCACAACUUUACUUCUUAAAAAGUUAAUUCCCACAUCAACAUGACUGUCAGCAAAAUUCUGGUGAGUACAGAACGUUUCCUUUUCCUACUCUAAAAAGAACUACAACAUUAAAAUGUACAUUCAGGUUUAAAGAGAGUUAAAUUAUGUUCACCUGGAAAGUUUAUUGUGCAUUUUAGGUUCAUCCUGAACAUUCCUUUUCGUGGGUGGUUUACUUUGGGUUCAACACCCUUCAAACAUGUAAGGAGUAUUUGGAAAAUACAUCUUGCAAAGUGCUCUUAGUGGCGGGAUGGCAAGAAAUGCGGAAGGGCAACAUGCAUCCACUGGCCUUUGCCAACUAUAGGCAAAUAUUGAUAACAAGCAAACAUUGUCAGCAUUAUGUUUGGAGUAAGGGGCUGUUUUGUUUUUAGCCAAAGCUGCCACUACAAGAUCUCUAUUAACAUGCUUCGAAAGCAACGCUCAGAAGUGCUUGCGCAUAUAUGGAAUUAUUUAGCCAGAGCAUUAAAUUAAACUAUUAAACAAUCAGGCAGUGCAUCAGUGCCUUUGUUGUUACUUCGUUGUUGGGCUCCGAGCCGUCCGAGUGCAAAGGGAGUUUUGAAAACUGGACACUGGGCAGGAGAAAUGCAAGCUUAUCUCCACUAUUGUCGUUUUGCGUACAUUUGAAUGCUAACACUCAUAGCUGUGAGAUCAUACUGACAACUCUUGGGCUUUUAUUUCUGUUUUCUUUAUUAGGGUUUCCAGCUCUUACUGGUCUUACUGGGGACAGUGUGCAGCAAACCUCUGUGUCCACAUAAGUGCACUUCUUCACCAAAAUUUCAGCGCACGCACUUCCAACACGUGUCGGAUUUGGGAGGAUCUUCAGUUGCUCCCUGGGAACUGACGUGGAAUUUUAGUGAAGGUAGGGAGCCUGAGAUCAUCGAGCAUGCCGUCUGCAAGAAUUGCACUGUGGCGCACAUGGUUGCCAAGCCCAUCUACAUCCAGAUUCCGGUCUACAAGAGAAUACGCAACAAGCCACAUGAUGUCUGGUGCAAAUGUCCUUACGAGCUGGCCGUGGGAUGCACUUGUGUUACCGCGCAACAGGAAUGAGCUUCACAUGGGGCCUGUUGUUCUCCUUGCUCUACUCUAGGACACGUCCCUUUUUCUACCAAGCAUUGUGGUUUGACUCACUUUGGUACGGUAUGCAUUUCUUUGUGUUUUGAUUGUACGUAGAACGUUCCAAAAUAUCCCAGUUUCAACCAUCAUUACGCAAUAGGCUGGUGGUGAAUCACCAACAGGGAAUUUCCUAAGUGGAAUGGAAAAGGCAAGAAAAAUCGUUUUUUAAGACAUUAUAGCGCAUUAAGAGGGAGAGAGGAAUUGAAGUUUCUGUCUCGUGUUUACAGAUGGUUACUAAGUAUGUUACGUUACCUCAAAGGCCUGGAAAAGUGUUAGGGGCUUAGAAAAAUCAUUUUGAGCUGAAUCCAUGCACAUAUGCACAAAGACACUCGAAUGGUUUUAUUUUAUUGAUGCGCAUGUGGUAGGCAAUUAACUCGUUUUGACUUUUGCUCAUGCAUCUUGGCGCUGUGAUGUAAUGGGAACUGUCAGUAACCACUUGCACUCCAAUCUGACUAGAAAGAUCAGCAGCAGACAGACGCCAAAAAAA